RNAcentral lists this ribosomal RNA (408 nucleotides) under uncultured bacterium. Its description in RNAcentral is "partial 16S ribosomal RNA". It matches the Rfam family "Bacterial small subunit ribosomal RNA", at positions 28 to 526 of the family's 1533-position model. The record is from RNAcentral.
GACGAACGCUGGCGGCGUGCUUAACACAUGCAAGUCGAACGAAGUGGCGAACGGGUGAGUAACGCGUAAUCAACCUGCCCUUCAGAGGGGGAUAACAGUUGGAAACGACUGCUAAUACCGCAUACUGAAGGAGGGGACUGGGUCUGAUUAGCUAGUUGGGGGGGUAACGGCCCACCAAGGCGAUGAUCAGUAGCCCGUCGGGGAGGAUGAACGGCCACAUUGGGACAGAGACACGGCCCAGGCUGCUACGGGAGGCAGCAGUGGGGAAACUUCCGCAAUGGACGAAAGUCUUACGGCACAACGCCGCGUGAGGGAUGACGGCCUUCGGGUUGUAAAGCUCUGGUAGUCGGGGCGCGGUACCGGAAUAGAAAGCCACGGCUAACUACGUGCCAGCAGCCGCGGUAAUUC